GGCUUAGAGUUUGAUUAUGGCUCAGGACGAACGCUGGCGGCGCGCCUAACACAUGCAAGUCGAACGGGGUUGAGAGGAGCUUGCUUUUCUUGACUUAGUGGCGAACGGGUGAGUAACGCGUGAGGAACCUGCCUCAAAGAGGGGGACAACAGUUGGAAACGACUGCUAAUACCGCAUAAGCCCACGGUCCCGCAUGGGAGAGAGGGAAAAGGAGCAAUCCGCUUUGAGAUGGCCUCGCGUCCGAUUAGCUAGUUGGUGAGGUAACGGCCCACCAAGGCGACGAUUGGUAGCCGGACUGAGAGGUUGAACGGCCACAUUGGGACUGAGACACGGCCCAGACUCCUACGGGAGGCAGCAGUGGGGGAUAUUGCACAGUGGGGGAAACCCUGAUGCAGCGACGCCGCGUGGAGGAAGAAGGUUUUCGGAUUGUAAACUCCUGUCGUAAGGGACGAUAAUGACGGUACCUUACAAGAAAGCCACGGCUAACUACGUGCCAGCAGCCGCGGUAAAACGUAGGUGGCAAGCGUUGUCCGGAAUUACUGGGUGUAAAGGGAGCGCAGGCGGGCUGUCAAGUUGGAAGUGAAAUCUAUGGGCUCAACCCAUAAAUUGCUUUCAAAACUGAUGGUCUUGAGUAGUGCAGAGGUAGGCG
This 649-nucleotide ribosomal RNA is filed under the name uncultured organism. RNAcentral's name for it is "bacterial SSU rRNA". It matches the Rfam family "Bacterial small subunit ribosomal RNA", at positions 1 to 663 of the family's 1533-position model. The record is from RNAcentral.